CAUAGUCGGGUUCAUAGGCACUAGAACAGGGUCCUCAUCAGGAUUCCUGCCCAUAGGGGUAUUUUCUUGGCCAGGCUGCACCUUCUCUCUCCCUGCAUCCUUGUAGCUGCUGUGUCACUGGAUAGAAAGUUCUUAUGCAUCCCACGUAGCUAGCCCAUUGGAGGGAUGGGUCACUGAAUGCCUCAGGGAGAAAGUUCUGAACACUACGAUUUCACCACGAGAAGCUGGGUGCUGGGUGGGGCUUGGUUCACACCUGUGGUUCCUAACCAGCAGACCACUGGAAUCGUCUGAGGGGAACUUAGUCCUCGGCUGAUGCUUAGCCUCCACCCAGACCGGAGGGAGUGCAGAAGAGGGGGAAAUUGAAGAAGUUCCUCCUCAUUGGCCUCCAUGGAUCUGAGAUGUACAAAUAACGUGGGACAAGAUGGUAGGAAGUAAAACGUUCUUAACUAUGGGCCAAACUCGGGGAUGUUGUUAGGAAAGACCAGCGCCCACUUUUGGCACAUCUUUAUUGAUGAGAAUGAUCUGAAUGAGGCACUGGGACCUCUGGACGUCAAAAGAAGCUCAGAUUUUUUUUUUUUUUUUGUAUUUCUUGAUAAAUGGAAAUACAAAGAAGGCCUAAAGCAGUGUGAUACAAGUGUGGCAUAUUUAAAAUGUUUGGAUUUAAUAAAUGAAUAUUUUUACCCCAAAAAGGAAAAUUAGAUUUAUAAUGUUAUUCACAGAUUAUGAUGAAGUUCUAAAGCUGAUUCAAAGUAGACUCUAUGUGACAUGGUCCGGUAUUGGCUGCCAUCCUCCAGCACUGCCCAGGGACU
Long non-coding RNA from Lutra lutra (Eurasian river otter), 809 nucleotides. RefSeq lists it as uncharacterized. The record is from RefSeq and is a predicted model, not a curated record. NCBI's taxonomy places the organism in Eukaryota, Metazoa, Chordata, Mammalia, Carnivora, Mustelidae. The transcript is spliced from 3 exons.